AGUGAACGCUGGCGGUAGGCCUAACACAUGCAAGUCGAACGGCAGCACAGUAAGAGCUUGCUCUUACGGGUGGCGAGUGGCGGACGGGUGAGGAAUACAUCGGAAUCUACUUUUUCGUGGGGGAUAACGUAGGGAAACUUACGCUAAUACCGCAUACGACCUACGGGUGAAAGCAGGGGAUCUUCGGACCUUGCGCGAUUGAAUGAGCCGAUGUCGGAUUAGCUAGUUGGCGGGGUAAAGGCCCACCAAGGCGACGAUCCGUAGCUGGUCUGAGAGGAUGAUCAGCCAAACUGGAACUGAGACACGGUCCAGACGCCUAAGGGAGGCAGCAGUGGGGAAUAUUGGACAAUGGGCGCAAGCCUGAUCCAGCCAUACCGCGUGGGUGAAGAAGGCCUUCGGGUUGUAAAGCCCUUUUGUUGGGAAAGAAAAGCAGCAGGUUAAUACCCCGCUGUUCUGACGGUACCCAAAGAAUAAGCACCGGCUAACUUCGUG
This 492-nucleotide ribosomal RNA is filed under the name uncultured bacterium. RNAcentral's name for it is "partial 16S ribosomal RNA". It matches the Rfam family "Bacterial small subunit ribosomal RNA", at positions 29 to 507 of the family's 1533-position model. The record is from RNAcentral.